UACGUAGGGGGCGAGCGUUGUCCGGAUUUAUUGGGCGUAAAGAGCUCGUAGGCGGUUUGGUAAGUCGGGUGUGAAAUCUCCACGCUCAACGUGGAGGGGCCACUCGAUACUGCCAUGACUCGAGUCCGGUAGAGGAGUGUGGAAUUCCCGGUGUAGCGGUGAAAUGCGCAGAUAUCGGGAAGAACACCCGUGGCGAAGGCGGCUCUCUGGGACGGUACUGACGCUGAGACGCGAAAGCGUGGGGAGCGAACAGG
This 254-nucleotide ribosomal RNA is filed under the name uncultured bacterium. Its description in RNAcentral is "partial 16S ribosomal RNA". It matches the Rfam family "Bacterial small subunit ribosomal RNA", at positions 524 to 776 of the family's 1533-position model. The record is from RNAcentral.